RNAcentral lists this ribosomal RNA (481 nucleotides) under uncultured bacterium. RNAcentral describes it as "partial 16S ribosomal RNA". It matches the Rfam family "Bacterial small subunit ribosomal RNA", at positions 28 to 523 of the family's 1533-position model. The record is from RNAcentral.
GACGAACGCUGGCGGCGUGCUUAACACAUGCAAGUCGAGCGGUAAGGCCCCUUCGGGGGUACACGAGCGGCGAACGGGUGAGUAGCACGUGAGCAAUCUGCCCUUCACACGGGGAUAACUUCGGGAAACCGGAGCUAAUACCCGAUACGACCACCUCGGGCAUCCGAUGGUGGUGGAAAGCUCCGGCGGUGAAGGAUGAGCUCGCGGCCUAUCAGCUUGUUGGUGGGGUAACGGCCCACCAAGGCAACGACGGGCAGCCGGCCUGAGAGGGUGACCGGCCACACUGGGACUGAGACACGGCCCAGACUCCUACGGGAGGCAGCAGUGGGGAAUAUUGGACAAUGGGCGAAAGCCUGAUCCAGCAACGCCGCGUGAGGGAUGACGGCCUUCGGGUUGUAAACCUCUUUCAGCAGGGACGAAGCGCAAGUGACGGUACCUGCAGAAGAAGCACCGGCCAACUACGUGCCAGCCGCCGCGGUAA